UGGGGAAUAUUGGACAAUGGGCGAAAGCCUGAUCCAGCGACGCCGCGCGGGUGAAGAAGGCCUGCGGGUUGUAAAGCCCUUUCGGUGGGGAAGAAAAGCCUCGACCUAACACGUCGGGGUAUUGACGUAACCCAUUAAAGAAGCACCGGCUAAYUCUGUSCCAGCAGCCGCGGUAAUACAGAGGGGGCGASCGUUAUUCGGAAUUUYUGGGGGUAAAGCGGGGGUAGGCGGUUUUGUAAGUCGGGUGUGAAAUCCCCAAGCUUAACUUGGGAACUGCAUUCGAGACUGCAUAGCUAGAGUAUGGGAGAGAGAAGUGGAAUUUCCGGUGUAGCGGUGAAAUGCGUAGAUAUCGGAAGGAACAUCAGUGGCGAAAGCGACUUCUUGGACCAAUACUGCCGCUCAAGUGCGAAAGCGUGGGGAGCAACCAGGAUUAGAUACCCUGGUAGUCC
This 449-nucleotide ribosomal RNA is filed under the name uncultured bacterium. RNAcentral's name for it is "bacterial SSU rRNA". It matches the Rfam family "Bacterial small subunit ribosomal RNA", at positions 355 to 796 of the family's 1533-position model. The record is from RNAcentral.